RNAcentral lists this long non-coding RNA (895 nucleotides) under Struthio camelus australis. RNAcentral describes it as "lncRNA (ENSSCUG00000000375.1)". Lineage: Eukaryota; Metazoa; Chordata; Aves; Struthioniformes; Struthionidae. The record is from RNAcentral.
AUGGAGCAAAGAAGAAGAAAGGGAGAGAAGAGAAAUAGUAGCAUGCCAGGAAGAUCCCUGAAAGCUCCUCAGGAACUAAAGGAGCAAAGAAGUCCCUUCUUUUCUGAUCCAGCCAGCUCCAGCCCUCCAGCUCUUGGUCCCCCGGUCCUACAGUGGGGCCUUACGACUUUUCACGGUUUAUCAGCUAGAGACAGCUCUAGAAGACAUCACUGGGUUGCAGUUGCAACCAGCUUUCCCCUGCUUCAGUAUGAAUGAAAGGUUUUGCUUCUUGUGCCUAGUUUUACUGAGAUGACUGCCUGCCACAAUGAGCAGGUCUCAAGUGGAGACUUCGGGAGCCCCACACAUCUCUGCCUGCAACAUAGAAUUUAUUUGAAAAGGAAAAUGCCAUAGAAUCACAGAAUAGCUGCGGUUGGACGGGACCUCUGGAAAUCAUCUUGUCCAACCGCCUUGCUCAAGCAAAUUUGCCUACAGCACAUUGCCUAGGACCCUGUCCAGUGAGGUUUUGCUUAUCGCCAAAGAGGCAGACUCCACAACCUCUCUGGGCAACCUGCUCCCGUGCUGUCACCCAUACAGUAAAACGUUUCUUUCUUGUAUUUGAAUGGAAUUUCUUGUAUUUCAGUUUGUGCCCAUUGCCGCUUGUCCUGUCACUCACUACCACUGAGAAGAGCCUGGCUGCACCUUCUUUACACCCUCCCAUCAGGUAGUUAUGCACAUUGAUAAGAUCUCCCCUGAGCCUUCUCUUCUCCAGGCUGAACAGUCCCAGCUUUCUCAGCCUCUCCUUAUAUGACCGAUGCUCCAGUCCCUUAAUCAUCUUCGUGGUCCUCUGCUGGACUCACCCCAGCAUGUCUAUGUCUCUUCUGUAUUGGGCCAGAACUGGACACAGCACUGCAGAUAU